Molecule: ribosomal RNA, 467 nt
Filed under: uncultured bacterium
Lineage: Bacteria
Description: partial 16S ribosomal RNA
Rfam family: Bacterial small subunit ribosomal RNA
Source: RNAcentral
GACGAACGCUGGCGGCGUGCUUAACACAUGCAAGUCGAACGGAAAGGCCUCUUUCGGGGGGUACUCGAGUGGCGAACGGGUGAGUAACACGUGAGUAACCUGCCCUUGACUUUGGGAUAACUUCAGGAAACUGGGGCUAAUACCGGAUAGGAGCUCCUGCUGCAUGGUGGGGGUUGGAAAGUUUCGGCGGUUGGGGGUGGACUCGCGGCUUAUCCGCUUGUUGGUGGGGUAGUGGCUUACCAAGGCUUUGACGGGUAGCCGGCCUGAGAGGGUGACCGGCCACAUUGGGACUGAGAUACGGCCAAGACUCCUACGGGAGGCAGCGGUGGGGAAGAUUGCACAAUGAGUGGAAGCCUGAUGCAGCAACGCCGUGUGCGGGAUGACGGCCUUCGGGUUGUAAACCGCUUUCGCUCAUGACGAAGCUUUGUGUGACGGUAGUGGGUAAAGAAGCACCGGCUAACUACGUG